Molecule: long non-coding RNA, 5493 nt
Organism: Danio rerio (zebrafish)
Lineage: Eukaryota; Metazoa; Chordata; Actinopteri; Cypriniformes; Danionidae
Source: Ensembl
UACGAAAUUGACUCAGCACAUGACCAGAAACAGAGGUGAUAAAACCUUGAAUUUCAGUAGUGCAUGACUACAACACAUGCUUUAGCCAUGGGAUUUACAACACAGCUGGUGUAUUAGCAGUACAGGACAUUCAACUCCACCAUCCAUACCUGAAGCCGUCAAGGGUAAUGGAUACCAAGAUGUGGAGAACAACACUGAUGACCACAACUUUUAUAUUAAUAGCUCAGUUAAUAACGACAGCUGAUGCUUCAAGCCCCACAGACGUAACUGAGGGCAUCACACCAGAAUCUUACAUCAGUUUCACAAAUGAUUCUGCAACAAACACAACUGAUGGAUUUUCAUCAGAAAUAUCUAAGGAAUCAAUUACAAGAAGCACUGCUGAAUCUAUAACCAGUUUAGCAGGUGAGAUCACUUCAUUAUCUUGCACAAUUGCUUCAAAUGCCAUGAAAAGAAUUUACUGAGUAUAAAUGUACAUUGUUUACAGAUGAAUCGACCAAUGAUGGCAUUUCAGAGAAGCAAGAAUUCUCCACAUCUUCCUUAGACGACUCUGAACUGUCAACACUAGAGGGGUCUUUUAUGUCAAGUAUAACAGGAAAACCAGAUACUGCAAUUACAGCAGAAGAAACAACUGAUCAACAGACUACUGAUGAGGAACUAAAAUUAACAACAGAACUAACAACUGAUUUGACAGAAAAAACAGAAAUGCCAACUGGAGGACUGGUUGAUCAAUUGACAACAGAAGUCACUGGAGAAACACCUACACCUGAGGAACUAGAAAUGUCAACAGCGUUUACAUCAGAAUUUACUAUCAGCAUUGCAGAUACACUAACAGAUUUUACGACAGAUUUAACAGAGGAAACCGAUUUGCCAACUGUUGGAGUAACUGAUCAAUUGACUACAGAGUUCAAUGGAGAAUCAACUAUUCCUCAAGAAAUGGAAUUGACAACAGCAUUUACAUCAGAAGUAUCUAGCAGUUUCACAGAUUUACCAACACAACUUACAACAGAUUUGACAGAGGAAACUGAAAUGUCAACUGCUGGAGUGACCGAUCAACUGACGACAGAGGUCACUGAAGUAUCUUCUACUCCUGAAGAAGAUCUAACAACAGCAUUUACAUCAGAAGUAUCUAACAGUUUCACAGAAAUACCAACACAACUUACAACAGAUUUGACAGAGGAAACUGAAAUUUCAACAGCUGGAGUGACCGAUCAACUGACGACAGAGGUCACUGAAGUAUCUUCUACUCCUGAAGAAUAUCUAACAACAGCAUUUACAUCAGAAGUAUCAAGCAGUUUCACAGAAAUACCAAAACAACUUACAACAGAUUUGACAGAGGAAACUGAAAUGUCAACUGCUGGAGUGACUGAUCAACUGACAACAGAUUUGACAGAGGAAACUGAAAUGUCAACUGCUGGAGUGACCGAUCAACUGACGACAGAGGUCACUGAAGUAUCUUCUACUCCUGAAGAAGAUCUAACAACAGCAUUUACAUCAGAAGUAUCUACCAGUUUCACAGAUAUACCAACACAACUUACAACAGAUUUGACAGAGGAAACUGAAAUGACAACAGAGGUCACUGGAGAAGUAACUACCCACGAAAUAGAAUUCACAACAGCAUUUACGUCAGAAGUAUCGACCAGUUAUACAGAUAUACCAACACCAUCUACAACUGAUUCAUCUGAAGAGUCAACAGAGGAAACUGAAAUGACAACCAUGGGUGUAACUGAUCAACUGACUACAGAGGUAACAGGAGAAUCAACCACUCCUGAAGAAGAAUUGACAACAAAAUUUACAUCAGAAGUUUCUACCAGUUUCACCGAAUUACCAACACCAUCUACAACUGAUUCAUCUGAAGAGUCAACAGAGGAAACUGAAAUGACUACCAUUGGUGUAACUGAUCAACUGACUACAGAGGUAACAGGAGAAUCAACCACUCCUGAAGAAGAAAUGACAACAGAAUUUACAUCAGAAGUUUCUACCAGUUUCACCGAAUUACCAACACCAGCUACAACUGAUUCAUCUGAAGAGUCAACAGAGGAAACUGAAAUGACUACCAUUGGUGUAACUGAUCAACUGACUACAGAGGUAACAGGAGAAUUAACCACUCCUGAAGAAGAAUUGACAACAGCAUUUACAUCAGAAGUUUCUACCAGUUUCACCGAAUUACCAACACCAUCUACAACUGAUUCAUCUGAAGAGUCAACAGAGGAAACUGAAAUGACAACCAUUGGUGUAACUGAUCAACUGACUACAGAUGUAACAGGAGAAUUAACUACACCUGAAGAAGAAUUGACAACAGCAUUUACAACAGAAGUUUCUACCAGUUUCACAGAAUUACCAACACCAUCUACAACUGAUUCAUCUGAAGAGUCAACAGAGGAAACUGAAAUGACAACCAUGGGUGUAACUGAUCAACUGACUACAGAGGUAACAGGAGAAUCAACCACUCCUGAAGAAGAAUUGACAACAGAAUUUACAUCAGAAGUUUCUACCAGUUUCACCGAAUUACCAACACCAUCUACAACUGAUUCAUCUGAAGAGUCAACAGAGGAAACUGAAAUGACAACCAUUGGUGUAACUGAUCAACUGACUACAGAGGUAACAGGAGAAUCAACCACUCCUGAAGAAGAAUUGACAACAGAAUUUACAUCAGAAGUUUCUACCAGUUUCACCGAAUUACCAACACCAUCUACAACUGAUUCAUCUGAAGAGUCAACAGAGGAAACUGAAAUGACUACCAUUGGUGUAACUGAUCAACUGACUACAGAGGUAACAGGAGAAUUAACCACUCCUGAAAAAGAAUUGACAACAGCAUUUACAUCAGAGGUUUCUACCAGUUUCACCGAAUUACCAACACCAUCUACAACUGAUUCAUCUGAAGAGUCAACAGAGGAAACUGAAAUGACAACCAUUGGUGUAACUGAUCAACUGACUACAGAUGUAACAGGAGAAUUAACUACACCUGAAGAAGAAUUGACAACAGCAUUUACAUCAGAAGUUUCUACCAGUUUCACAGAAUUACCAACACCAUCUACAACUGAUUCAUCUGAAGAGUCAACAGAGGAAACUGAAAUGACAACCAUGGGUGUAACUGAUCAACUGACUACAGAGGUAACAGGAGAAUCAACCACUCCUGAAGAAGAAUUGACAACAGAAUUUACAUCAGAAGUUUCUACCAGUUUCACCGAAUUACCAACACCAUCUACAACUGAUUCAUCUGAAGAGUCAACAGAGGAAACUGAAAUGACUACCAUUGGUGUAACUGAUCAACUGACUACAGAGGUAACAGGAGAAUUAACCACUCCUGAAAAAGAAUUGACAACAGCAUUUACAUCAGAAGUUUCUACCAGUUUCACCGAAUUACCAACACCAUCUACAACUGAUUCAUCUGAAGAGUCAACAGAGGAAACUGAAAUGACAACCAUUGGUGUAACUGAUCAACUGACUACAGAUGUAACAGGAGAAUUAACUACACCUGAAGAAGAAUUGACAACAGCAUUUACAACAGAAGUUUCUACCAGUUUCACAGAAUUACCAACACCAUCUACAACUGAUUCAUCUGAAGAGUCAACAGAGGAAACUGAAAUGACAACCAUUGGUGUAACUGAUCAACUGACUACAGAGGUAACAGGAGAAUCAACCACUCCUGAAGAAGAAUUGACAACAAAAUUUACAUCAGAAGUUUCUACCAGUUUCACCGAAUUACCAACACCAUCUACAACUGAUUCAUCUGAAGAGUCAACAGAGGAAACUGAAAUGACUACCAUUGGUGUAACUGAUCAACUGACUACAGAGGUAACAGGAGAAUCAACCACUCCUGAAGAAGAAAUGACAACAGAAUUUACAUCAGAAGUUUCUACCAGUUUCACCGAAUUACCAACACCAUCUACAACUGAUUUAUCUGAAAAGUCAACAGAGGAAACUGAAAUGACAACCAUUGGUGUAACUGAUCAACUGACUACAGAGGUAACAGGAGAAUCAACCACUCCUGAAGAAGAAUUGACAACAGAAUUUACAUCAGAAGUUUCUACCAGUUUCACCGAAUUACCAACACCAUCUACAACUGUAUCAUCUGAAGAGUCAGAGGAAACUGAAAUGACUACCAUUGGUGUAACUGAUCAACUGACUACAGAGGUAACAGGAGAAUCAACCACUCCUGAAGAAGAAUUGACAACAGAAUUUACAUCAGAAGUUUCUACCAGUUUCACCGAAUUACCAACACCAUCUACAACUGAUUUAUCUGAAAAGUCAACAGAGGAAACUGAAAUGACAACCAUUGGUGUAACUGAUCAACUGACUACAGAUGUAACAGGAGAAUUAACUACACCUGAAGAAGAAUUGACAACAGCAUUUACAUCAGAAAUUUCUACCAGUUUCACAGAAUUACAAACACCAUCUACAACUGAUUCAUCUAAAGAGUCAACAGAGGAAACUGAAAUGACUACCAUUGGUGUAACCGAUCAACUGACUACAGAGGUAACAGGAGAAUCAACCACUCCAGAAGAACUAGAAUUGACAACAGCAUUUACAUCAGGGGUAUCUACCAGUUUCACAGAAACACCAACACCAUCUACAACAGAUUUGACAGAGGAAACUGAAAUGUCAACAGUUAGAGUGACCAAUCAACUGACGACUAGAGAAUUAACUACUUCUGAGGAACUAGACUUGACAACAGCAUUUACAUCAGAAAUAUCUACCACUGUUACGGAAAUACCAACUCCAUUUACAACAGAUUUAUCAGAAGAAACAGAAAUUCCAACUGAAGGUGUCACUGAUCAACUGACUACAGAGGUCACCAGACAGUCAACUACUCCUAAGGAACUAAACUUGACAACAGCAUUUACAUCACAAGGAUCAACCGGUGUUACAGAAAUAUCAACUCCAUUUAUAACAGACUUAACAGAGGAAACUGAAAUGCCUACUGGAGUAGUAACAGAUCAAUCAACUACAGAGGUUAAUGGACAAUCAACUUCUCCCCAGGCACUCAAACUGACAACAGUAUUUACAUCAGAGGUAUCAAACAGUUUUACAACACCAACCUCAUUUACGGCAGAUUCAACAGAGGAAACAGAAAUGACAACUAUUGGAACGACUGAGCAAUCAACCACAGAAUUCAGUGGAAAAUCAUCAACUUCUGAGGAACUAGAAUUGACAACAGCAUUUACAUCAAAAGUACCUACCACUGUUACUGAAAUGCCUACACAAUAUAUAACUGAUUUAUGGGAUGAAUCUGAAUUGACAACAACAGGAGUUACAGAUCAGUCAACUACAACAUUUAAAACUGAUUUAUCCAGUAUAAAUCCCUCAACAACACUGCUUACAACUAUAGUACCCGUCAUGUUUACCUGUGAUGAGACAUUUGAUCCUGCACUGCUGAAUGCUUCUUCACCUCAGUAUACAAAUCGAGAACAAAAAGUCAUGCAUGAAUUUGAGCCGAUCCUAACAAAAAAAUUUAUUGCCUUCCGCUGGCUGAAAGUUCUUCGGUUCCUGUGA